GUGUCAGCCGCCGCGGUAAUACCGGCCCCGCGAGUGGUCGGGGUGAUUAUUGGGCCUAAAGCGCCCGUAGCCGGCCCGGUAAGUCUCCCCUAAAAUCCCCGGGCUCAACCCGGGGAUUGGGGGAGAUACUGCCGGGCUAGGGGGCGGGAGAGGCCGAGGGUACUCCCGGGGUAGGGGCGAAAUCCGUUAAUCCCGGGAGGACCACCCGUGGCGAAGGCGCUCGGCUGGAACGCGCCCGACGGUGAGGGGCGAAAGCCGGGGGAGCGAACCGGAUUAGAUACCCGGGUAGUCC
This 292-nucleotide ribosomal RNA is filed under the name uncultured prokaryote. RNAcentral's name for it is "partial 16S ribosomal RNA". It matches the Rfam family "Archaeal small subunit ribosomal RNA", at positions 455 to 747 of the family's 1478-position model. The record is from RNAcentral.